AUCUAAUUGACGAGUCCCAAGUAAGACGGAACGUACGUCCUGGAU
Molecule: non-coding RNA, 45 nt
Organism: Schistosoma mansoni
Lineage: Eukaryota; Metazoa; Platyhelminthes; Trematoda; Strigeidida; Schistosomatidae
Source: Rfam